AUUGCUACAUGCGUGGUUCUCCUUGCGUGCUCUUAAUACCAUUCCACACCCAUUUACACAUUCAUAACCGCCCACCCCUUCAAUUCAUUCAUUGCCUUUCGCCGCCCUCUAUCUAACAUACACACAUAUACUAUUUAAUCAUCAUAUAUAGAAGACCCCUUUAUUCUUCUUAAUUUCUACACUAAGUAUCUAGUUUGUUUUUUCCAGUUUUUGUGCAUUCUCUACCAAGUGGAGUGGAAAGUGUUCUUUUGCCAAACAGAACAAAGCCACAAGAAUUAAUAAGCAAAGAUGGUGAUGCUGGGUUUGGGAAGGCUUGUAGUGACUCUAAAAUCCAAAAUAAGGUCUUUGAAACUGAAGAAACCUUAUGAUAAGAUGGAGAAGAGUGAGAGCAUGAGAGUGGAAAUAAGAAGCAGGAAGGCCAGAAAGCUUAUUGAAGAGACCCUCAAAAUUGCUGAUUCACCUAAGUCCAAAACCUUCACCUUAUGAUGAUGUUAUGCUAAGCUACCUUAUGUUAAUUGUAUGUAUUAGUAAAACUCUUCAAUAAUUAAGGUUCUGUUCUUCGUAUAUGUGUUGUUAAAUUUCAAUGAGGUAACUAGCUUUAUCCUUUA
This is a long non-coding RNA of Glycine soja, 608 nucleotides long. RefSeq lists it as uncharacterized. The record is from RefSeq and is a predicted model, not a curated record. Lineage: Eukaryota; Viridiplantae; Streptophyta; Magnoliopsida; Fabales; Fabaceae. The transcript has 2 exons.